This is a regulatory RNA element of 207 nucleotides. It matches the Rfam family "T-box leader". From Rfam's summary of the family: Uncharged tRNA acts as the effector for transcription antitermination of genes in the T-box leader family. The record is from Rfam.
AAGUAAGCGAAGAACAAGAGUAGUAAUUUGUAGGACUUCUUAAGAGAGCUGAUGGUUGGUGUAAAUCAGUGUGGGAUACAUAUGAACGUGCUUGGGAGCUUUUAAAUCGAAUGAUUGAGGUUUAAACGUAUUAAUCGGCGUUAACGAUUUAAGUGCUAGUGUUUACACUAGAACUAAGGUGGUACCACGGAAAAUUUCGUCCUUAGC